Molecule: ribosomal RNA, 411 nt
Filed under: Triticum aestivum (bread wheat)
Lineage: Eukaryota; Viridiplantae; Streptophyta; Magnoliopsida; Poales; Poaceae
Description: partial small subunit ribosomal RNA
Source: RNAcentral
AUGUGCACCCGCAGAACCGAUGUUGUUCAGCACCAGCAGGAGCAGCCGCGUCACUCCAUGCACCGACAUCAACCACGUCCACGUCUAGCACCUCAGCCGACAGCCAGGCCACCCCGUCCUGACCAACCUGGCAGUUCUACGUGGCACCGCAGCACUAUGGUCCCACGUCGAGCUUCGUGUUUUCUCCACAGCCACAGCAACAUGGUCCCUCGUCGAGCUUCGUGUUUUCUCCACAGCCACAGCAGCACGGUCCCUCGUCCAGUUUCGUGUUUGAGCCAGAGCAGAUGUCACACCCAGCAGGAGCCUAUGGAUAUCAGGCGUCUAUGUCGGCAUCACAUGAUACGUGGGGGAGUGAUCAACAUCCCGAGGACAACAUACAGGCUCAGAUGUCGCAGCACACCCAGUGGAUGA